AAUAUUGCACAAUGGGCGCAAGCCUGAUGCAGCCAUGCCGCGUGUAUGAAGAAGGCCUUCGGGUUGUAAAGUACUUUCAGCGAGGAGGAAGGCAUUAAGGUUAAUAACCUUAGUGAUUGACGUUACUCGCAGAAGAAGCACCGGCUAACUCCGUGCCAGCAGCCGCGGUAAUACGGAGGGUGCAAGCGUUAAUCGGAAUUACUGGGCGUAAAGCGCACGCAGGC
This 224-nucleotide ribosomal RNA is filed under the name Klebsiella aerogenes. RNAcentral describes it as "partial 16S ribosomal RNA". It matches the Rfam family "Bacterial small subunit ribosomal RNA", at positions 360 to 576 of the family's 1533-position model. Lineage: Bacteria; Pseudomonadati; Pseudomonadota; Gammaproteobacteria; Enterobacterales; Enterobacteriaceae. The record is from RNAcentral.